GUUUCUGAGCAGUCCAGUUGAGCUGAAGGCAACAAUUUAUGUUGAACAGACUCUUCAGGAUGGAUCUACUUGUAUUGGGUCUGCUGCUUAUGGCCACCAGCUGCUCAGCUGAGCAAGCAGUUUCAGUGACUGUUCAGCCCUGGUUGAUCGGCCUGUCAGCCGUCGUUGGUUUCCUUGCCAUCGUCUUCGCCAUCUUGAUCCUUCACAGACUGCUGAAGAGAAACAGAGAGGAUGAAGAAGAUGAGGAUUGUCACAAGACAAUUGAAUUGGAUGAAGGUGAAAUUAAACAAACCAUUCUGUAGUAACCUGCUCUGCCAACAGCUGGAACCAUAUUACCUGGGACAUAUCUAACAAUGACAAAAAGUAUGGCAAUUAAAUUACAGUUAUGCUGACUUUGAUGAGAGCAUUUUUUUAUUUUUUGAUGUCUUCUUUUACAUUUUUUUUUCUGUUGAUCUUUAUUACUUCCUUAGAACACAGAAACACUGUUUAAUUCAUCAUGUAUAUGUAACAGUAAUGGGUUGUUAACCAUGCCAAGGCUCAAACUGACCACAAACCUGGAUAGUUUUAAUCUACGGGCAGCAGUGAAGCCUACUGGAUGAUCUCUAUAAUGGUUUGCAUAGAUCCAGUAGUGUUUGCAUUCAUCCAGCUCUUGUUCAAACCCACAAAGAUUUGUCUGAAACUUGAAUAAAAUCUCCAAAGUGUCUAAAUAUUCCAAAUGUCUUUAUUAAAUUAAAUUAAUCCCAAACAGAAAAUAAUACUUCAACAGUUUAAUUGAAGGGAGUAGCCAUACAGUUUUCUCAUAAGGUCUGUCUUUCAUCCUGUCUGUGGC
This is a long non-coding RNA of Melanotaenia boesemani (Boeseman's rainbowfish), 829 nucleotides long. RefSeq lists it as uncharacterized. Lineage: Eukaryota; Metazoa; Chordata; Actinopteri; Atheriniformes; Melanotaeniidae. The transcript has 3 exons. The record is from RefSeq and is a predicted model, not a curated record.